UUGGGGACGGAUAGAUUUGGGGCUGAGAAACAAUGUGAGAAUGUUAAGACGUAUGUAUAAAGAAGUGAGAAUCACUUUGUAUUCAUAAUUUUACAAGUGAUGGCGUUGCUUCACGUUCAACUCAUUAAUGGGUUUUUUCAGGGCCCAAAGCAGAGCCCACUGUCUCAGAGAAGAGCAAGAGCUGGCAGAUACCUCUGCUUGCAAACACAGGCCAAUCCCUCAAGAACCCAGAGGAUAAUGGAGAGUUUAUCAGUGAGUGGGGAAGUUGGUGGUGCUGGCGGGGCAUACUCAUAUAGUGCCUUGAAGAGGUUGGACCAACUUUGGUCUAGUAUUUGUUCUGCUCAAACAGUUGUGGAGGAACCAAAGCAAGUGGUUUCAAGUGUUCCUGGUUUUUUUAGCAAUUCUGAUCUGGCUGACAAAGCAGUAGAUACAUUUGAUGUGUUAAUUUGUGGUGGAACUCUGGGAAUCUUCAUAGCUACAGCCUUGUGCGCAAAAGGUCUUCGAGUAGGCAUUGUUGAGAGAAAUGUGCUCAAGGGGAGGGAACAAGAAUGGAAUAUCUCACGGAAAGAGCUCUUGGAACUUGUAGAAAUCGGAGUUCUGGUAGAAGAUGACAUUGAACUAGUCACUGCAGCUAAAUUCAAUCCUAACAGAUGCGGCUUUGAGGGCAAGGGUGAUAUCUGGGUUGAAGACAUUCUUAAUCUUGGUGUUUCACCAGCAAAGCUUAUAGAGGUUGUGAAGAAUCGUUUCAUUACUCUGGGUGGAGUCAUAUUUGAAGGCAACAGUGUGUCCAGCAUUUCCAUUUAUGAAGAUGCGGCUGUCUUACAACUCAAUGAGGGAAACAUUUUGACAUCUCGCCUCAUCAUUGAUGCAAUGGGGAAUUUCUCUCCCAUUGUAAAACAGAUAAGAUCCGGAAGGAAACCAGAUGGUGUUUGCCUUGUUGUUGGAUCCUGUGCUCGUGGAUUUAAGGAUAACUCUACAAGUGAUGUUAUAUAUACUAGUUCAUUGGUAAAGAAGGUUGGGGCCUCAAAAGCUCAAUUGUUUUGGGAGGCAUUUCCAGCUGGUUCAGGUCCUGCAGAUCGUACAACUUAUAUGUUCACUUAUCUUGCUCCUCAACCCCAAUCGCCGAAAUUGGAAGAAUUGUUAGAAGAGUAUUGGAAACUGAUGCCAGAAUAUCAGGGGGUCUCUCUUGAUGACUUGGAGAUACAGAGGGUUCUAUAUGGCAUUUUCCCUACAUAUUGUGACAGCCCGCUGCCGGCAGCUUUUAAUCGUGUUUUACAGUUUGGUGAUGCUAGUGGAAUACAAUCACCUGUUUCAUUUGGUGGUUUCGGAAGCUUGACUAGGCACCUCAAGAGACUGUCAACUGGAAUAUAUGAAGCAAUGAGCAACAACCUUCUUGAUUCGUACAGCUUGUCCCUGCUGAAUCCUUACAUGCCCAACUUAAGUGCUUCAUGGUUGUUUCAAAGAGCAAUGUCAGCAAAGCAACAGUCUAAUGUGUCACCAGAUUUUAUUAAUGAGCUUCUUUAUGCGAAUUUCCAAAGUAUGCAGAGGCUCGGCGAUCCAGUGCUAAGACCAUUUCUUCAGGCUUGGUUUCAAAUUUUUAACUAUAGAAGCAUGUAUUGUGACAGGAUGUUGUGCAGUUUGGACCUCUUGCCAAGACAUUAGGCCUUGUCAUGUUAACUAAACCUCAAAUUAUUCCAUCAAUUUUCAAGCAGGUUGGAAUUCCUGUGCUUCUUGACUGGUCUGUACAUUUUUUCAUGCUGGGAUACUAUACGUUUCUCUCAUCUUUUGCUGACCCUGUAGUAAGGCCUUUCUUAAGCACACUUCCAUCCAAGGAGAAGUAUGAGUGGAAGCGACGUCUUGAGGCUUGGAAAUAUGGCGCUGGCUUAGAUUAUAAGUCAUGAGGUAAUGGAAACAGGGAGCAGCUGCGUUUGGAUACGUACCUGGCUUCCCUCAUAAAAGUUCAAUUUGGGACGUCUCACCGGCCAGAGAGGACCUAUGGGUGUUGAACGGAGAAGAUAAUAGAAAAAGGAAUGUUAAAAAAAUAGAAAGGGAAAAAGAAACAUCAGGGGACUGAGACAAUGUAGUUGGAACCAUGCUUAUAUUCACAUCAAAUGACAGUUUCUUUGAAUAAA
RNA transcript from Prunus persica (peach), 2132 nucleotides. RefSeq lists it as uncharacterized. NCBI's taxonomy places the organism in Eukaryota, Viridiplantae, Streptophyta, Magnoliopsida, Rosales, Rosaceae. The transcript is spliced from 18 exons. The record is from RefSeq and is a predicted model, not a curated record.